UUUAAAUUAUUCUUGGUUUUUAGUUCAAAAAUUUUAAUUAGUUUUCUCAGAUAAAUUUUGGCUCAUUUGGUUUGGAAAAUUAAUUCGAAAAAAAAAACACUUACGUUGUGGAAGGUUUUGUUGAGUUCAUCAAGCUGCUUUUCAUGUUUCUUACGUAGACGCUCCCGUUCCUUAUCCUGCUUCAUUUUGGCCACUUUCCUCUCGUCCAUGAAUUUUUUGGUAUUAUUCUGCUUCUUCUCUCUCAACUUACGGUCCUUAUCGUUCUUGGUCUUCAGCGUUUUGUCGCUGUUGACCUCACGCGCGGUCUCCACAGAAAUGCGUGCUUGAGACGAAUUCAACUCUUUGAUGUCUCUGUUAAUGACUUUAAAAUUAAUUUAACAACUAAUUAUUCAAUGGUUGCUCGCCUCUCAUGUUUCGCCUCAAGUUGCUUCAUCUGGGCACCCUGCACGCCCUCCAUUAGUUUUCGCAGCACCUCCUGAUUGUCACGCAGCUGCUGACGAAGGGUUUCCCACCUCUCGCGCUGCUGCCGUUCCACCAUCUCCGACCACUGAGCCAUUUGCUCUACCACCAAUUUCCGCACCGCAGGAUCUUGAGCCGCUUCAUUGGGCCUUAAAUUUUUUGUGUUAAAAAAAUGGGAAUUCAAAACAAAUAAUAACCCACUUUUUUCCUUUGACUAGUUUUUCAAUGGCAGCAACUUGCUGUUUCUGCACGGCAGCCAUUUCUUUCUGGUGGCGCUUUUUCAGCGCCUCAAGGUCUUUCUGCUGUUUGCGACCAACUUUAGAAAACCCUUUUUCAGCUUUGAGGCUGUCAACGGUAACAUCCUCAAAUCUUAGCUCUGUAUCCUCAGCUAAUUUGAAGUUGGUGUUAGAUUGAAGAAAAUGAAAAAAAAAUUUGCAACCAACCUUUGCGACGCGCUUCCUCUCUGCGAGAACGCUCGGCCGCUGAUUCGAGGGUGGUGUUGGCUUCCUCGAUUCCCAUGACCUUGAGACGCUCAGUGGGUGGAGCUUUUGGUGGCAUGACCGCGCGUCGGGGGUCGGACAAUGCAGCCAUAAAAUCUGAAGGUUAAUGAUUAUUUAAUAUGGUGAUAUUAAAUUAAAUGAUAAUAAUAGAUAUUCUCAAAAUUGCAGAAGUUGAUAGCUAUUUAAUUAAAUAGGAAAAUCAAUAAAAAUUUUGUAAACCGAAACCAGCGAUCACUUAUUAUUUAGAGAUUAUGCAACCUGGCGGACGCUCACGCGAUCGGUAUUGAUUGCAGCAACAAGUUGAUGUAGGCAACUUGCGCGACACGGUUGUCCACACGGUUGCAUAACUUUGUUAUGCUUUCGUUUUGACUGCCGUUUGUAUUGAAGCUCCUAAUAUUUAGGAACAGAAUUAAGAAGGAAAAUAUAUAUGGCGUUUAGUAAUUGAAAUUUUUUACAUUUAAAUUUUAGAUUUUUUGUCAUUAAUGACUGAAAUAAGAAGAAAAUUUUAAUUUUACACUCACCUUCAAAUCCAUCUGGGACGUAAAUCUUAAGUUCGAUGUUGCAGAAUAACAUGGGCAGAGACAUUGGAAAAUUUGCCUCUGUGCGUAGGGAGAUGUGCCUGUAACCAGCCUGCAGACCGUCGAGCGGCAAAAUGCGCUGGCCUAGCAGUUUGCCAUUCUCAUCGUAGACGCCAAAGCGCAGCACAGCAAGAUCAGCGUCAGGACACACUAUGUGCUGGUAAUUGAUGUUGACGUAAUCGUAGCCACUGCAGAUGGUCAGCGACCUGUCCUCCAGCUGCUCGCCGUGCCUGGUGACCAACUGGUUCAGCAGGCGCUGGUCUCGGGGCACGCCGCCCGCCCUGAUGUCGCUCACCUGGAAAUUUGAGUCAGCGCGCGGUUGAUUUGAUCAAAGGUUGGGAGAGUACCUGGCACAACUCGAUGACAUCGCCCUCACGCGCCUCGCUCUUCCAGUAUAUGAAAAAGCCGUAUUCAUCAACCUUGAAUACGCACUGUGAUUCAAAGUCGAUCGAGUCCUUUUCCUAUGCGCUCAGCGGUCGACCCGCGUCCCGGCCGAACCAACUUCACUGGCCAGGGCCCAACUGUCAGAGAAACGAGGGCCACUGAGACCCCAGGGGACCAGGGGGUGCGUUACCUGUGCGUCCGGACUAGAAAAUAAGCAGACUGACGGGAACCCAGCCCCUCGGUUGAUGUUGGUGCUCACGGCCGUGAGGCGCAUGCGCUGAGCACCAAAAGCAGAGCCACCGGUGUGAACGGCCUUCGCUGGAGUCUUAUUUUCAGAUGUUGACAAAGUGAUAAUGAUCCUCUUAUAUAAAUAUUUUCAUCAAACCCAGUCACACAGAUAUUUUGCAACCUUUUUGAACAGUUGGAUAUCCUUUUUUGAGUUGAAAAUUUUUAUUAAUCAAAAGUAAAAUUUUAAACAAAAAAUUUAAAACAUUUUUAUAAUUCAAAAAAUCAUGAUAAGAAUUACAAGAAUUAUAAUUACUUUUCUAAAGAAGUUAUUCUUUUUUAAAGUCAGUAUAAUUUAGAACAGGCCUCAUUUUGAGUUGUUCCUGCUGGCUGUGAGAGCAAGAAGGCCACUCCAAGGCAGACCUUACUGAGGGCACUCACUCUUUUAUCAUUUAUUUAUUCGCUUAUUUGAGUUUGCGCUCGUUCCACAUUUCCAAUUAAACGGCGAAAAAAGCGGGGCUAUAAUUUAAUGCCGUCGCUCUAGGCAGCACCUUUUUCCCACAGGUGUUGUGCUCCUAUGACGUCAACUUGCGGUGAGCGUAAAUAUAAAAUUGGGCGUAACAAUUAUUGUAAAUUAUAUCGAAUUAUAUACAAUGUGCGCGCAGGAGACUUGGACUCUUUUGGAGCAAGACUUUUCACUAGAUUAGUGGACAAAAAUGCAGUUUAAUUUUAAAACAAAAACCCUUUUAAAGCUGUUGCAAAAGUGAGAUUGAAGCAAAAUUUAGAAUGUAAUUUUUUUUAAUCAGUAGUAUGAACUGAAAAUUUAAAGCUUUAAAUAAUACUUGUUUACGUUUAAUCACGUUUAAUUAUGUUUUAUUCUGAAAGAACAUUUUAAAGUGGUUUAAUUGUAGGUUUAAAUAUGUUGGUUGAGUUCUCAUGAGUAUAAAUAAUUUAUCAGAAAUUUAAUUACCAUGAAUAGCAGUUUAAAUUAAAAAUUAUAACAAAGGUACUUAACUUCAAUGCUAAAUUGUGAUCUACUUUACAAGUGCAAAUCAGGUGAAAAAAAUGCGGCUAUAGAGAGAUAAAUUUUAAUAGCAGAGAGCUUAGAGUGGGGGUGCUCAUAGCAAUCAUAGUGCCUGCAUUAAUGGCAUUUAAUUGUUUUGAGGCAUUGAACUGAAAUUGUUAAGCACACAUGAAAACAAAUGUGUGGGAUAUAUUUAAGGCAAAAACGUGCACACACAUAUGGAGCGCUGCUGGCGUACAUGGAUAAUAAUAACAGAGCUCUACUAUAUCGAGGGCAGCAGACCCUUGAAAAUGUUGCGCGCUGACCUUUCCUACUUGCCUCUAAUUAACUUGUACGUCAGUCAUGAUAAAAAUAUAUCAAAAGAGAUUUUGAAUGACAAUCAUGGUUUUUACUUGUUGCGGUCAAAACAAGUCAAACUUGAAAAAUAAUUCGGCGUCAAGGCCAAUGGUAAAGAGAGGCAGUUUCUCUGUAAAAUAAAUUUCUGAAACUGGCUCAAGUUUGGAUUGAAUGGAAAAAAUUUAACAAUUGUUGAAAUAUGCAAGUUUAGGAAACAAGAGCAUAUCAAGCAUAUUAUGGAAAUUAAAAAAUAUAAGUAAUUAUCAUAUUACGUUUAAUUUAUAAGUAAACCCUUUAAAGUUUUUGAUAUAAAAUUCUUUCGUCAAUUUUUAUUAUAAAUCUUUGACAGAAUUGGUAUUAUUGUUAAAUCUAUUCGAUUUUAGACACACUAAGUCUCUUAUUUGGCAGUUAGCAAAUUAACUGUUAUUCAAUAACAUAGA
This is a long non-coding RNA of Neocloeon triangulifer, 3946 nucleotides long. RefSeq lists it as uncharacterized. The transcript has 3 exons. The record is from RefSeq and is a predicted model, not a curated record. Lineage: Eukaryota; Metazoa; Arthropoda; Insecta; Ephemeroptera; Baetidae.